RNAcentral lists this ribosomal RNA (1357 nucleotides) under Ibalia sp. ZJUH 20220011. RNAcentral's name for it is "16S ribosomal RNA". Lineage: Eukaryota; Metazoa; Arthropoda; Insecta; Hymenoptera; Ibaliidae. The record is from RNAcentral.
UUAAUUUAUAUUUAAAAUUAAUUAAUUAAAAUAAUAAUAAUAAAUUUAAUUUUUAGUAAUAUAAAUAAAAUAAUUAUAUUAAUUAUAAUAAUAUGUAUUGUAAAAAAAAAUAUAUUAUAAAUAAAGAUAAAUUAAUUUUUUUUACCUUUUGUAUCAGGGUUAAUUAAAAAUUUUUAAUUAAAAUUAAAUUUUUCGAAAUUAAUUGAAUUAAAAUUUAAUUUUAAUUAAUAUAAUAUAAUUAUUAAAAAUUAAAUUUUAGAAAUUAUAUGUUAUUCAUAAUUAAUAAUAUCUAAUUUUUUAAUAAAUGAAUUUAAUUCAUAAAUUUAUAAAAAUAAUUUAUAUAUAUAUAUAUAUAUAAAUUAAUUUAAUAAAUUUUAAAGAUUUAUGGGAUAAACUUUAAAUCUAAUUUUAUAAAAUUUUAUUUAAAAAAUUUAACUUUAAAAAUAUAAUUUAAAAUUUUAAUUUUUUAAAAAUUUAUAAUAAUUUAUAAAUAAAAUUAUAAUAAAAAUUUAAUAAUUUAAUUUUUAAAUAUAAUAUUAAAAUAUAAUUUAAAAUUAAUAAAAUUUAAAAAUAAUGAUUAAAUUAGUAAAAUUAAAUUUAUAAAUUAUUUUAUUAUUUAUAAUUUAAAUUAAUGAAUUCAGCAAAAAUUAAUAUUUACCUGUUUAUUAAAAACAUGUCUUUAAAUAUAUUAAUUUAAAGUCUAAUCUGCUCAAUGAUUAUUUAAAUAGCUGCAAUAUUUUUUGAUUGUACAAAGGUAGCAUAAUCAUUUGCCUUUUAAUUAAAGGAUAGAAUGAAAGAUUGAAUAAAAUAUUAACUAUAUUAAUUUAAUUAAAAUUUAAAUUUUAUUUUUAAGUAAAAAAUCUUAAAUUAUAUUAUUAGACGAUAAGACCCUAUAGAACUUUAUAUUAGUAUAUUUUUUUAAAAAUAAUUUUUAAUUUUAAAAAUAAAUUAAUAUUAUAUUGGGGGUAUAAAAAAAUUAAAAUAAUUUUUUUAUAAAUUUAAACAUUUUUUAAUGAAUUAAAUAUAAAAGAGUGUUUUAUAUAAAUUAUUAAAAUAAGUUACCUUAGGGAUAACAGCAUAAUUUUUUUAAAUAGUUCAUAUUGAUAAAAAAGAUUAUGACCUCGAUGUUGAAUUAAGAUAAAUAUUAAAUGAAGAAAUUUUUUUAUUAAGUCUGUUCGACUUUUAAAAUCUUACAUGAUUUGAGUUAAAAUCGGUGUAAACCAGAUUGGUUUCUAUCUAUAAUAAAAUUAUAAAUAUUUGUACGAAAGGACUUUAUUUAUUAAAUAAAUUAAUAUUAAAUUAAAAUUGAAUUAAAUUAAAUUAAAAAUAAAAACUUAUAAAAUUUCAAUAAAAUUUU